Helianthus annuus (common sunflower) is the source of this 660-nucleotide long non-coding RNA. RefSeq lists it as uncharacterized. NCBI's taxonomy places the organism in Eukaryota, Viridiplantae, Streptophyta, Magnoliopsida, Asterales, Asteraceae. The transcript has 4 exons. The record is from RefSeq and is a predicted model, not a curated record.
AAUCUGAUAUGCUGUUUUACCUGUUUUGGUUGCCGAUUACAUGCUUCGUCUAUCUCGAAUGAUAUGCUAAUUACAUGUUACAGGUGCUAAUGUUUGGUUUUUUUUUUAAAGUAGAUAAAUUAAAAUAAAACGGUUAAUAUGGUGGGGUAGGACCAUCCUCCAUUUCCAGUGAUUCUACCUUUUAAAGGAGCAUCCUCCAAGGAACUAUGAUGUGGCGCCUACGUGGCGUAUCAUCCUCUAAGGAGGACCAUCACCAUACCGCAUAGCCUAAGAAAAGGCCCUCCUGGCUCCAAUUUGCCGGCAAUCUAUCGUUCAGGUUUCAAGUGUGUAAAGUGUAACAAAUCAUAUUCAAGUAAAAACAUGCAUCUCGAUCUUACACUAAUUGCUGGUGCAAAAGAAUAUGUUGAAGCUCAACCUUCUCGGACUGAGUUAUUUCGGAGCCCACUUGUUUCAUUUUUGUAUGAACGUGGAUGGCGUCAAAAUUUCAACCUUACUGGCUUCCUGGUCCCGAAGAGGAGUUCAAGAUGGCUCAAGAGGACUUCAAGCCAGCAGGUGGAAUUUUAGUGGAUGUUAGUUGUGGAAGCGGUUUGUUUUCCCGCAAGUUUGCAAAAUCUAGGACCUAUUCAAAAGUCAUAACUUAUUUGUUUUCCCGCAACUGAA